RNAcentral lists this ribosomal RNA (184 nucleotides) under uncultured bacterium. Its description in RNAcentral is "partial 16S ribosomal RNA". It matches the Rfam family "Bacterial small subunit ribosomal RNA", at positions 1317 to 1500 of the family's 1533-position model. The record is from RNAcentral.
UACAUGAAGCUGGAAUCGCUAGUAAUCGCGGAUCAGAAUGCCGCGGUGAAUACGUUCCCGGGUCUUGUACACACCGCCCGUCACACCAUGGGAGUCGGAAAUGCCCGAAGUCUGUGACCCAACCUACGGGAGGGAGCAGCCGAAGGCAGGUCGGAUGACUGGGGUGAAGUCGUAACAAGGUACC